This 389-nucleotide ribosomal RNA is filed under the name uncultured bacterium. RNAcentral describes it as "bacterial SSU rRNA". It matches the Rfam family "Bacterial small subunit ribosomal RNA", at positions 28 to 417 of the family's 1533-position model. The record is from RNAcentral.
GACGAACGCUGGCGGCGUGCUUAACACAUGCAAGUCGAGCGGUAAGGCCCUUUCGGGGGUACACGAGCGGCGAACGGGUUGAGUAACACGUGGGUGACCUGCCCUCAGCUCUGGGAUAAGCCUGGGAAACCGGGUCUAAUACUGGAUAUGACUCCAUGACGCAUGUUGUGGGGUGGAAAGCCUUGUGCGGCUGAGGAUGGGCCCGCGGCCUAUCAGCUUGUUGGUGGGGUGAUGGCCUACCAAGGCGACGACGGGUAGCCGGCCUGAGAGGGCGACCGGCCACACUGGGACUGAGACACGGCCCAGACUCCUACGGGAGGCAGCAGUGGGGAAUCUUGCGCAAUGGGCGAAAGCCUGACGCAGCGACGCCGCGUGAGGGAUGACGGCCU